This 658-nucleotide ribosomal RNA is filed under the name uncultured bacterium. RNAcentral describes it as "bacterial SSU rRNA". It matches the Rfam family "Bacterial small subunit ribosomal RNA", at positions 28 to 692 of the family's 1533-position model. The record is from RNAcentral.
GAUGAACGCUGGCGGCGUGCCUAACACAUGCAAGUCGAACGGGAAUUACUUUUUAGCUCGCUAAGUUGUAAUUCGUGGCGGACGGGUGAGUAACGCGUGAGCAACCUGCCUCAGAGUGGGGGACAACAGCUGGAAUUUACUGCUAAUACCGCAUAAGCGCACAGUCUCGCAUGAGACAGUGUGAAAAACUCCGGUGGUAUAAGAUUGGACCCGCGUCUGAUUAGCCAGUUGGCGGUGUAACGGACCACCAAAGCGACGAUCAGUAGCCGGCCUGAGAGGGUGAACGGCCACAUUGGGACUGAGACACGGCCCAAACUCCUACGGGAGGCAGCAGUGGGGAAUAUUGCACAAUGGAGGAAACUCUGAUGCAGCGACGCCGCGUGAGUGAAGAAGUAUUUCGGUAUGUAAAGCUCUAUCAGCAGGAAAGAAAAUGACGGUACCUGACUAAGAAGCCCCGGCUAACUACGUGCCAGCAGCCGCGGUAAUACGUAUGGGGCAAGCGUUAUCCGGGAUUUACUGGUGUAAAGGGAGCGUAGACGGAAUGGGCAAGUCUGAUGUGAAAGCCGGGCUUCAACCCCCGGGACUGCAUUGGUAACCUUGUUCAAGGCUUAAAAUGUGCCAAGGGAAGGGGGUUUAUGACCGGAAAAUUUUAUUCUUA